This 200-nucleotide unclassified non-coding RNA is filed under the name uncultured Dothideomycetes. RNAcentral describes it as "sequence contains ITS1". The record is from RNAcentral. Lineage: Eukaryota; Fungi; Ascomycota; Dothideomycetes.
CUGAGUACCGGGUCUCUCAGGCCCUUACUCCCACCCUUUGUUUACCUUACCAAAUCUUCAGUUGCCUUGGUGGGACUCCAAAAUUCCUCCCUUGGAUUAGUUUUAUACUGAUCCUUUAGGUAAAAAAAGGAACUCACCAUUGGAACUUUUUUAAAACUCUUAUGAAUUGGGUUUGUCUGAGAACAAAUACAAAUAAAUUA